This is a long non-coding RNA of Choloepus didactylus (southern two-toed sloth), 834 nucleotides long. RefSeq lists it as uncharacterized. The record is from RefSeq and is a predicted model, not a curated record. The transcript is spliced from 5 exons. Lineage: Eukaryota; Metazoa; Chordata; Mammalia; Pilosa; Megalonychidae.
UCCUCUCUAUGCCGCCAUCUUGCCCCACCUCUGCCAAAAGCUUUUUUGAAGAUUCCCCAAAGCUGCGCUUCCUGGCCUUCUCAGCAGAUGGCACUGUUCAGGAAGCUGUUUCCCGCAGCCCUAAGGAGAUUUAAAUAUUUGAUGCACCCAGAACUUAUUUUGGUGUAAGAAGUGAGGAUACAAAGUUCCUAGUGAAAAGAGAUUUAAAUGCUACAGUAUUAGAGAGCUUGAAAGUUGUUUUUACCAGAGAGCAAACUGGAGGAAAUGAUACAUGAGAGUGAGGAUUACUGAGGAGAGUCAUUUUGCACUUGGGGGAAGGAAUGGAGGAGACAGGAUGGAGGCAUGCAAGGAGAUGGCUGAGAAGAGAUUAGCCUCAAGUGAGGUGAGAGGAGGAAGAAAAACAAAGGAGGAGGAUAUGGAAGUUGUGUGGGACAUGCUUUCUACAUUGGUGAAUGAAAAGAGGAAAGGGGUGAUUUCGAAUGGUAAUAAGUAAAAGCUGUUCAGCAUAUUUUUUCUCACUUGGCAAUCUGUGCCUUCUCCUUUAAACUGCAGGGUCAAAUGUAAAUGGUUUUGUAGAGUUCUCAAAUCAGAAACAUGAAUAAAAAUAUUUGACUGAAACUAAAAUGUUAAAUGUCUAUUAAAAUACCUGAGAGUGUAUAACAGAUUUGAUAAUGUGAAUUCUGGGAUAAUAAAAUAAGUGACAGAUCUUUCCAUCUAUUUUUAAAUGUUAUUUGGUGAGAGAAAUUUAAUGUGCAAUGAAACCCGAGUUGAAGUUGAGAGGUGGAGAAAUAAAAGGGAGAGAACAAAUUCUUACUAAAUGAUUUCCAUGUAUAG